CCCCUUGACUGCCUCUAGCUAACCCCUUCCUUUUUCUCCUUGUUUCCAUGUCCUCUAGACCCUUCAUCACAAAAGUCCAAACUGCCAGCUCAGCAAGAAAGGAACAUCCUUGGAUUGCAGGAGACGGAAAAUCGUUGAGGAUGCCAAGCCAAGCCAGAGGGAAGGAAAGGCCAGAUACUCUGUGAUUUAAUCAUGUUACAGCCUCACAAAGAUGCAAAAGAUUCCUGUCUACUUGCCGCAGUAUGACUCAUUCUAGAAAGAGGAGUUUCAAUGAAUCAUAACGAACAAAAGAAAUGGAAAGAGCAAAAGAGAGAAUGUGUCAAGUUAAAUGUUAAAAUGUCAAAGAGACACAGAUAUCAACUGAAAGAGCUCUCAAUGGCCAAAGCUGAACAAUUUGGUGAAAUGAAUAACACUAAGAAAAUCAUGCUUAUAACAAGAAAUAAGUCUCAGAUUUGA
RNAcentral lists this long non-coding RNA (456 nucleotides) under Rhinopithecus bieti (black snub-nosed monkey). RNAcentral's name for it is "lncRNA (ENSRBIG00000045639.1)". Lineage: Eukaryota; Metazoa; Chordata; Mammalia; Primates; Cercopithecidae. The record is from RNAcentral.